This is a long non-coding RNA of Calidris pugnax (ruff), 2160 nucleotides long. RefSeq lists it as uncharacterized. NCBI's taxonomy places the organism in Eukaryota, Metazoa, Chordata, Aves, Charadriiformes, Scolopacidae. The transcript has 3 exons. The record is from RefSeq and is a predicted model, not a curated record.
GCUCAUCCCAAGCCGGGCUCGAUCACUAAUCACUUCCUUCACGCUCCUGCGGCGGGGUUGGAGGGACACGGAGGACUGAGGUCAAAUUUGCACAGUACCACGGCACCAGCGAUUGCGUGUGAUUCCACGCGGAAAGAAGUUUACAAGGAUUACACAUUAACGCCCAAGACAUGCAGCUGCCACAAGACAGCCAGGAAAAUCCCUGUACUUUAUGAUCUCUUAUGUCUCCCCAUUGCUUGUGGGGGCUGCAGUUGUUCCAGUUACCUCACUACAUAAAGUAGCUUACUGGAUUAGUUUUUGCUAUCUUAAACUUCAAUGGCAGCAAGGAACUAACAGGAACUAACCAGUGCCUUUUGUUCAAUUCAGCCUCUUACAUUAUCUUUCCAUUGUGGAAUACUUGGAAGAAGGUAAUAGUGAUUUUGUCACCUAGGUACCUUCAGUUGUAUUUGUUCAUACGUGCCAGGUGCCUAGCUAAAUUAUGGCCUUAUAUACACAUGAGGAGCUUUGCUGGGCUUACAGGAAAAAAAAAAAAAAAGCAUCAAUUUGUCAUGCAAAUCUUUUCCUGGCAUUAAUUUUGCUACUGAAGGCCAACCGUUCUGGACUGGCACUUGAAGCAGGGUGGAGCAUCAUCUUUUUAAUUAAAUUUGCUGUGGAAAAAAGAAGCAGAACAGUCAUCUUGCCAUGUCCUUUUUUAUGUGGAUGGGAAUUUUAUGGAUUAGUAGUGGACUUCAACUGAAGAGCUGAAAAGGCUAAUGAAUUCUUUCAGAGAACAGCAUGAAGUCUUUCGUUCUUAAACUUUGACUUAAAGGACAGUUAUUAGCCAUAAAUGGCUUUCACAGCUGUUCCUUAGGUUAGGUGGAGCUGGGAAAGCUGGCAAAAUAGCACGAACAAGUUCAAAAAAGGAAUGAGGGUGGAAAAGAAGAGGUUCAUCUUGGAAAUGUUGGUAGAGCUGUAGGAAAACAUUCAAAAAGAGGAAGAAAUCUGCAAUAUCAAUGUGUAGGAGUGAAAGUGGACAGUAAAUUACAUAUGGCCUCACAGAACAGCAUAAUAACAAAACCUUCAGAAUUUAAGCCUCCGUGUGAAGUAUCCCAUCACUGAGGAAAGAACUAAUAGACUUUUUCUUCCGCUUCUUUGGCAUAACUACCCUCUGCAUACUACUUAACUAGGUCAUGCCUGGGAUAUUUUUGGGAAUCUUCCUGUUAGAAAAUUACACUGAAGGGAAUUUAAAGAAGAGCAAUUAAAAUAAUUAAGGAGAUGGAGGGAUUGAUUUAUGAGACAAGAUCAAAAGAGCUGGAAUAUUAAAACAUGUUUCACAAAUGCUGUGGAGUUUGAAUGACAUCACAUUGUUAAGAUUAGCACAAGCUAUAUGGAAAGAGUGUAUUCAGUGUAAGAUUACGUGCAUAUUUUGAAACCAGUAGCAACUGCAAAAAUGGGUGCAACGGGAAAAAAAAGGUUGAGACACUGGUGUUUGCCGAGUUACGGAAAGCUUUGUGCUGAAAAGCAAGGGCAGGGCCCCUACCCUCUACAGGUAGAUUAGACAGAUUAGAUAGAAGACACAGGCUGAUGGGAACAAUCUUGCACUGGAAAAUAGUUGGGACAAAAGCCUUGUAUGGUAUGCAAUAACCUAGAGCACUAGAGGUGUGUUCUAGUCUGCAUCAUCUCUCUUCUCUGUAUGGAACCAUGGUGGGCUGAAAUGCCAAGUGUUUCAAGUCUCAAGGUUUUUUCAAGCAGAGCGGAAUAGUAUUUUUAACCACAGGCUCCCAGUUCACCUUCCCUGGCUGCAGCAACUGCCACAAUCCAAAGUUCACCUCAGAAACUGAAGUUAAAACCAACUUUUUCUCAUAGAUAGCUAAGAAAUCCUUUAACAAAAAGAUUUUUUCCUCAUGUUUAUGGCCUGUUCAUAAAUUCAUUAACUUGAGGUCCUUCUGAGGCCUACCUAGGAUACACUAGGAUUGCUUGAUGUUAGUAGACUUUUUUCCCUGAAUGGCGAAACAAGUUUCUGAAGUGAUGAAACAUUUGAGACAGGAGUUCACAAAGGUUGUGUUAGCACUUGUUUAAGGAAUACCUGUGUAUCUCAUGGCUUUGUCAUUCAUUAAUAAUGUGGUCAUCUCACAAUGCUAAUUAAAACCUUAAAAUCAAAUGUACCUAUUUAAAAUAUAC